RNAcentral lists this ribosomal RNA (253 nucleotides) under uncultured bacterium. RNAcentral describes it as "partial 16S ribosomal RNA". It matches the Rfam family "Bacterial small subunit ribosomal RNA", at positions 524 to 776 of the family's 1533-position model. The record is from RNAcentral.
UACGAGGGGGGCAAGCGUUGUUCGGAAUUAUUGGGCGUAAAGGGCGCGUAGGCGGCUUUGCAAGUCUUGUGUGAAAUCCCUGGGCUCAACCCAGGGGCUGCACAAGAAACUGCAGGGCUUGAGUAUGGGAGAGGUGAGUGGAAUUUCCGGUGUAGCGGUGAAAUGCGUAGAUAUCGGAAGGAACACCUGUGGCGAAAGCGGCUCACUGGACCAUAACUGACGCUGAGGCGCGAAAGCUAGGGGAGCAAACAGG